RNAcentral lists this ribosomal RNA (630 nucleotides) under Corynebacterium minutissimum. Its description in RNAcentral is "bacterial SSU rRNA". It matches the Rfam family "Bacterial small subunit ribosomal RNA", at positions 154 to 801 of the family's 1533-position model. The record is from RNAcentral. Lineage: Bacteria; Bacillati; Actinomycetota; Actinomycetes; Mycobacteriales; Corynebacteriaceae.
AAACUGGGUCUAAUACCGGAUGGAACCGUCUUUAGUGUGGUGGUUGGAAAGUUUUUUUAGUGCAAGAUGAGCUCGCGGCCUAUCAGCUUGUUGGUGGGGUAAUGGCCUACCAAGGCGUCGACGGGUAGCCGGCCUGAGAGGGUGUACGGCCACAUUGGGACUGAGAUACGGCCCAGACUCCUACGGGAGGCAGCAGUGGGGAAUAUUGCACAAUGGGCGGAAGCCUGAUGCAGCGACGCCGCGUGGGGGAUGACGGCCUUCGGGUUGUAAACUCCUUUCGACAGGGACGAAGCGCAAGUGACGGUACCUGUAUAAGAAGCACCGGCUAACUACGUGCCAGCAGCCGCGGUAAUACGUAGGGUGCGAGCGUUGUCCGGAAUUACUGGGCGUAAAGAGCUCGUAGGUGGUUUGUCGCGUCGUCUGUGAAAUUCCGGGGCUUAACUCCGGGCGUGCAGGCGAUACGGGCAUAACUUGAGUGCUGUAGGGGAGACUGGAAUUCCUGGUGUAGCGGUGAAAUGCGCAGAUNCAGGAGGAACACCGAUGGCGAAGGCAGGUCUCUGGGCAGUUACUGACGCUGAAGAGCGAAAGCAUGGGUAGCGAACAGGAUUAGAUACCCUGGUAGUCCAUGCC